RNAcentral lists this long non-coding RNA (1340 nucleotides) under Felis catus (domestic cat). Its description in RNAcentral is "lncRNA (ENSFCAG00000042260.2)". Lineage: Eukaryota; Metazoa; Chordata; Mammalia; Carnivora; Felidae. The record is from RNAcentral.
AUGUGGGCCACACAGAGACUGAAAUGGAAUUGUAAGGUCAUCUGGAAUCCUGGGUGGUUCCAGGAAUGUUGGCCUCAGGAGCUUAUGGACCUUGACUCUGGAUUGGCUGGCAUGGCUGAAAUGUCCUUCUCUGAGAUCUAUAUGAUGCUUGGAUUGUCCAGACCUCAUUCAUGGUCCUGUCCCUGGAGUUGGGGUAGCGGCCAGCCUUGCUGCAGCUACUUGUGGUUAGGACUACAGCACUGGAUGCAGACUGCUUGGUUUUUAAACGGUGUCAACGGCCAUUAUUUGUCCAAAGCCUUGUGGUGGAGGAUGACCGGAGUGAAGAGAGACUGAGCAAGGGGUCUCUGAAUCAUGGCAGAGAUGGCACCGUAAAAACAAAGCAAUGGUUUCUUCCUGAUGGAGACAAGCCAGUUGAGACCCAAAUAAGACCUGGAGGAAAAUCAUCCCAGAGGUGCCUUGUGCCUAGUAUGAAGGUGACCUUGCUUUCUUAGCCAGAGAAGGGAGUAAAGGUCAGGAAAUCAAGUGGCUGGCUGGAAUAUGAAGGGUAAAGAUGAAGAAAGAAGAAUCUGGGUUCUAAGCUCAUCCUCAGGCACCCACUGUAAACAUCACCUUUACAGUGUCCCUGAGAGGUGGUGGUCCCUCUGGUUCAACACAGGAAACUCACUGCUUCAACUUAAGGUGGCACAUUCAGUCCACUGUUAGACAACUCUGAUGAUUUGAAUCGUUUUCUGUUAAGAUUAAAUUGAUCUCCUUGCCAGACUGAUCUUUUGUUAUUAGUUAUAUCAGUUAUCGAUCACUGCAUAACAAAUUGCUCCAAAAUGUAGCAGCUUAAAGAGAGUCAGCAUUUAUUAUCUCCCAGUGUUUUCGAGGGUCAGGGAUUUAGGAACAGCUUAGCUGGGUAUUUGUGGCUCAGAGUAUUUCAUGAAGUUGAAGUCAAUCCUUCAGGCAGGGCUGCAGUCCUCAGAGUUAACUGGGGGUUGGAAGGUGGGCUUGUAAGAUGGCUCCAUCACAUGGCUGUUGGCAGAAGGCUUUCAUUGCUGACUCUUGCCAGGUAGACCUCUCCAUAGGGUGUCCUCAGGACAUGGCAGCUGGCUUCCCCCACAGCAAGUGGUCCGAGAGGGAGAGAGAGCAAGGUGGAAUCCACAAUGCCGGUCGUGACCUAGUCUUGGAAGUCACAUAUUGCCAUUUCUGCCGCAUUCUUUUAGAAGUGAGUCACUAUGCCCGGGCCACAUUCCAGGUGAAAGAGCUUAGGCUCCACCUUUUCAAGGGAAAAGUAUAGAAGCAUUUGUGGACAUAUCUAAAAACUACCAGAGUCAUAGUUCUCCUAAAUGAUACUGUAG